This 255-nucleotide ribosomal RNA is filed under the name uncultured bacterium. RNAcentral describes it as "partial 16S ribosomal RNA". It matches the Rfam family "Bacterial small subunit ribosomal RNA", at positions 524 to 776 of the family's 1533-position model. The record is from RNAcentral.
UACGAAGGGGGGCUAGCGUUGUUCGGAAUCACUGGGCGUAAAGGGCGCGUAGGCGGCUUUAUAAGUCGGGGGGUGAAAGCCUGUGGCUCAACCACAGAAUUGCCUUCGAUACUGUAGAGCUUGAGACCGGAAGAGGUAAGUGGAACUGCGAGUGUAGAGGUGAAAUUCGUAGAUAUUCGCAAGAACACCAGUGGCGAAGGCGGCUUACUGGUCCGGUUCUGACGCUGAGGCGCGAAAGCGUGGGGAGCAAACAGG